CCGGCACGGGUGAGUAACACGUAUCCAACCUGCCGUCUACUCUUGGACAGCCUUCUGAAAGGAAAGAUUAAAUACAAGAUGGCAUCAUGAGUCCGCAUGUUCACAUGAUUAAAGGUAUUCCGGUAGACGAUGGGGAUGCGUUCCAUUAGAUAGUAGGCGGGGUAACGGCCCACCUAGUCUUCGAUGGAUAGGGGUUCUGAGAGGAAGGUCCCCCACAUUGGAACUGAGACACGGUCCAA
Molecule: ribosomal RNA, 239 nt
Filed under: uncultured bacterium
Lineage: Bacteria
Description: partial 16S ribosomal RNA
Rfam family: Bacterial small subunit ribosomal RNA
Source: RNAcentral